CGCCGGUCCCCUCGCGACGGCCAACCGUGAACUCCGUCAGGCCCGGAAGGGAGCAGCGGUAACGGGGGUGCCGGGCGCCGGGGUGUGGCUGGCGUGG
Molecule: signal recognition particle RNA, 97 nt
Filed under: Lysobacterales bacterium
Lineage: Bacteria; Pseudomonadati; Pseudomonadota; Gammaproteobacteria; Lysobacterales
Description: signal recognition particle sRNA small type
Rfam family: Bacterial small signal recognition particle RNA
About the family: The signal recognition particle (SRP) is a universally conserved ribonucleoprotein involved in the co-translational targeting of proteins to membranes. Archaeal SRP consists of a 7S RNA and homologues of the eukaryotic SRP19 and SRP54 proteins.
Source: RNAcentral